Molecule: long non-coding RNA, 855 nt
Organism: Strongylocentrotus purpuratus (purple sea urchin)
Lineage: Eukaryota; Metazoa; Echinodermata; Echinoidea; Camarodonta; Strongylocentrotidae
Exons: 2
Source: RefSeq, a predicted model, not a curated record
AUCCACGUUAGUCCAUGGUGCAAAGAGGUUCUGGAUAAGCUUGGUGGUUAUGAACUUGAAGAUCGAGGCCUUGUUCCAAUGAAGGGUAAAGGAGAAAUCCAUACCUUCUGGUUGCUAGGACAAGUUCCAAGCUACAAGAUCACCAAGGUUAAACCACCACCACAGAAGCUCACUCAAGAGGCCAUAGAGAUCGCUGCAAAUCGUGUCAUACCUGAUGACGUCUAAAUAAACAACUCGCUGGUACAACUACAAUCAACAACAAAUGAAGAAUGUUACCAGAUACUUUUGGUAAAAUACAAGGAAUGUUAUUCCCGACCCCUUCACGUUAAAUAUAACGUCGGGUAAAUUCAUUGGUCUUAAAGCUUACAUGAUUCAGUAAGCAUUGUAAGAAACAUAUGAAAUGUCUGAAAAUAUUUCAUACGUUUAUAGAACCAAUAAAUGUUACUUUGGUCUGUUGAUAAAAUGAGUUAGAGCAAACGUUUAGCAGUUAAUACUCCCCUAUGAGCAAUGGUUUGAUGAAAUUGAGUCUACAAUAAAACUCCUGUUUCGAGUUAGAGUUGUCUUAUUGAAAUAAGAAUGAAUUCCCUCCAUUGCUAGCAAAGGAAAAUUGAACGUAGAACGUAGUAUAAUCGCAUUGACAUUAUUUUGCUUCAUCAUGGCGUAUAAAUUACGUGUGCCUUAAUUUCAUCUCAACGAAAAGCCACUUGGUAAUGUUUAUUUACGUGCAGCGUCAAAAUUGAACAUUGUAUGGUUAUUUUACAUUAAGAAAACCCCCAGGUUUGCAUUGAAUCUAUGUAACUUGAAUUGUUCAUGACGAGCAAAAAAAGAAUUGAAUAAAUUAUUCGUCAUUUAACA